Molecule: ribosomal RNA, 433 nt
Filed under: uncultured bacterium
Lineage: Bacteria
Description: partial 16S ribosomal RNA
Rfam family: Bacterial small subunit ribosomal RNA
Source: RNAcentral
AACGAACGCUGGCGGCAUGCCUAACACAUGCAAGUCGAACGAGACCUUCGGGUCUAGUGGCGCACGGGUGCGUAACGCGUGGGAACCUGCCCUUAGGUUCGGAAUAACUCCCCGAAAGGGGUGCUAAUACCGGAUAAUGUCUUCGGACCAAAGAUUUAUCGCCUUUGGAUGGGCCCGCGUUGGAUUAGCUAGUUGGUAGGGUAAAAGCCUACCAAGGCGACGAUCCAUAGCUGGUCUGAGAGGAUGAUCAGCCACACUGGGACUGAGACACGGCCCAGACUCCUACGGGAGGCAGCAGUGGGGAAUAUUGGACAGUGGGCGAAAGCCUGAUCCAGCAAUGCCGCGUGAGUGAUGAAGGCGUUAGGGUUGUAAAGCUCUUUUACCCGGGAUGAUAAUGACAGUACCGGGAGAAUAAGCUCCGGCUAACUCCGUG